Molecule: ribosomal RNA, 538 nt
Filed under: bacterium T-2-0-7E
Lineage: Bacteria
Description: bacterial SSU rRNA
Rfam family: Bacterial small subunit ribosomal RNA
Source: RNAcentral
CAGCCAUGCCGCGUUGUGUGAAGAAGUGCCUUAUGGGUUGUAAAGCACUUUAAGCGAGGAGGAGGGUACCUUAGUUAAUACCUAAGAGUAUGCGGACGUUACUCGCAGAAUAAGCACCGGCUAACUCUGUGCCAGCAGCCGCGGUAAUACAGAGGGUGCAAGCGUUAAUCGGAUUUACUGGGCGUAAAGCGUGCGUAGGCGGCUAAUUAAGUCGGAUGUGAAAUCCCCGAGCUCAACUUGGGAAUUGCAUUCGAUACUGGUUAGCUAGAGUAUGGGAGAGGAUGGUAGAAUUCCAGGUGUAGCGGUGAAAUGCGUAGAGAUCUGGAGGAAUACCGAUGGCGAAGGCAGCCAUCUGGCCUAAUACUGACGCUGAGGUACGAAAGCAUGGGGAGCAAACAGGAUUAGAUACCCUGGUAGUCCAUGCCGUAAACGAUGUCUACUAGCCGUUGGGGCCUUUGANGCUUUAGUGGCGCAGCUAACGCGAUAAGUAGACCGCCUGGGGAGUACGGUCGCAAGACUAAGACUCAAAUGAAUUGAC